This 30-nucleotide small RNA is filed under the name Bombyx mori (domestic silkworm). RNAcentral describes it as "ovarian small RNA-11429". The record is from RNAcentral. Lineage: Eukaryota; Metazoa; Arthropoda; Insecta; Lepidoptera; Bombycidae.
ACGACGUCCUGCAGUCUCUCUUCCAGGGUC